Molecule: transfer RNA, 74 nt
Filed under: Phycisphaerales bacterium
Lineage: Bacteria; Pseudomonadati; Planctomycetota; Phycisphaerae; Phycisphaerales
Description: tRNA-Leu
Rfam family: tRNA
About the family: Transfer RNA (tRNA) molecules are approximately 80 nucleotides in length.
Source: RNAcentral
GACUUCGUAGCCCAACUGGCAGAGGCGUCGGUUUUAGAAACCGAAUGUUGCAGGUUCGAAUCCUGCCGGAGUCA